GGAGGGCGCCGCGAACGGGUGUCGUGUGACGGGGGUCGAGGGGACACAGUGUGAAAUAGAGUGUGAGUGAGAGAGUGAGAGAGAGGAAAAAAAGGCAAAUUUAGAUCGACGUGGUUCAAAAAACACCGCCGAAAGGGUUAAACGCACCACAGAAGAGCUCAUAUUUAAAUAUUACUAGUCGACGGUGGAGGACACACGGAACGCGCGCGCAAAACUGCACUCAUACCGCGGUAUUAUCGGUCGAUUUCGCGCCGAUAACAGGUCAGCGAUCGUAUGUGGUGAAUUCACGUCAAACUGUGAUGUCACGUACCCGCGUAUAAAGAAGAUAUGAAGAUUGACGUCACAUGAACUUAGAGGCCAUUCCUUGACGCCAUCGAGAGGGAAACCAAACGCUCAGGGAAUUGUUAUUGCAAUGUGUGCUAAUAGUAGCCUUGUCCUGCUGAUGGCUGUGCUGAAAAAAAUUGUACAGAAAUAUUUUACUACCUACGGACCAUUGCUGCAGUAAAUUCAGAAUUUCAACAUAGUAUGAAAGCGACAAAUAUAAAAUAAUAAUAAAUAAUAAUUGUUUAAAAUAAAUAUUUAUAACUUUCAAGUAUAUACAUACUGAUUUAUGAACAUA
Molecule: long non-coding RNA, 619 nt
Organism: Metopolophium dirhodum (rose-grain aphid)
Lineage: Eukaryota; Metazoa; Arthropoda; Insecta; Hemiptera; Aphididae
Exons: 3
Source: RefSeq, a predicted model, not a curated record